RNAcentral lists this long non-coding RNA (1285 nucleotides) under Trifolium pratense (red clover). RNAcentral's name for it is "long non-coding RNA (TPRA_LNC006478)". Lineage: Eukaryota; Viridiplantae; Streptophyta; Magnoliopsida; Fabales; Fabaceae. The record is from RNAcentral.
AUCACCAAUUCAACUACUUUUUCAAACCAAUUUAUUUCUUUUUCUUUCAACCUACUUCUCCCCAACUUGAAUUUUGACAUAACCCUUAAUGAAAUACAAUUGCUCUCUUAUCCUAAGACAAAGGUAGAGUAGUUGUUUUUCUUUUCUUUUGGCUUCAGGGUUUAUAAAACAAAAAAAAUUUCAAAAUUUAAGGCUCAAAAGGGGACACAAAAGAUCACUAUCUCGCAAGGUAGGUUAAAUUUGGCCAAGUAGUUAUCACUCAAAAAGAAACAAGGCCUUGAUCAUAUCCACAACAUCAAACACAUCAGUGACAUCAAGAUUAAGUUAAAAUCAAACGAGCAUACACAAUUGCCGGCUCUCAAAUAUUUAUGUAAACAAUGGAAAGUUCACACAUUCUCACCCGGCUAGAUUGGAUAACACAAGCUUCAAUCAUGUUUAACAAAAAAUAAUGAGAAUCAUCUUAGGACAAACAACACAAUUCAAGAACAUGUUGAGUUCCUAAGCAUAUUUCAAACAUUAAUCAAAAGUUGACAUAAGCUCUACAAAUCAAAAUUAUCAUGCUUGCUCAUUGAUUUACCACAAACCUGUCUUUCGGAUUUUCAAAAGCAUGUGAGCUUGUUUUCAAAAGGUAUUUACAUGUAUUUACAAUAUUUCAUGCUAGCAUAAAAAAACUUGUAAACAUAAUGAAAAUUACUAAAUUAAACCAAAUAUCAAAAUAAACCACCAUCAAGAUUCAAAAGAAACACAGAUGUUCACAUAAUAAAUCACAUGUUCAAAAAGGAAACAUAACUCCCACAUUGUUCACAAAAUGACCAUAAAACAUUCAAAAUAAACUAAUUAAACAUAAAGAAGUAAAUGACUAAAAGCUUUUAAAUUCUUCACUCAGUUUUGGAGAGCUUUUCAGUCAUCUACACGUCUGCUCAGUCAGACGCGGCAUCCUCGCUUCCAUCUCCCUCUUCCAUCGAAGCAUCUGAAACAGCAUUCUCAACAUCAUCACCUGCAUCACCCUCAGCAUCAACAUCAACACCAGCAUCUUCUCCUGCACCAACAUCAUCACCUGCACCACCCCCUCCUGAAAAAGUUGGCCUGACCCCAGGCCAAUCAACGUAAGCUAGAAACUCAGGAGGAGUCAUCACUGUCUGCCCUGAUUGUGACCUGAAAAUGGACUCGUGGACAGCAGUCAUCCCCGGCAACGGCGCCAUUUGAUGAAGUAUCAAAAGUAAGUAUUUUGGUUAUAUCGUAUCCGCAGGGACUAGUGCGAUAUCAAAAGCCGUUCAACAAUCAC